CUCCAAAGUGUUGAGUUCAGUUCAGGGCUUUUCCCCCUUGUUCUGGUAAUUAAACUUUGGUACAGCAAGUGGCAAGGGAGAAAGUAUACUUGGUGUGGCUGUGUGCCCCACUCCAUUUAUAACCUCCUGCCUACAUGA
Small nucleolar RNA from Acipenser ruthenus (sterlet), 138 nucleotides. The record is from RefSeq and is a predicted model, not a curated record. NCBI's taxonomy places the organism in Eukaryota, Metazoa, Chordata, Actinopteri, Acipenseriformes, Acipenseridae.